This 1075-nucleotide long non-coding RNA is filed under the name Monodelphis domestica (gray short-tailed opossum). RNAcentral describes it as "lncRNA (ENSMODG00000037612.1)". Lineage: Eukaryota; Metazoa; Chordata; Mammalia; Didelphimorphia; Didelphidae. The record is from RNAcentral.
GACUUAUUGAAGACCUGAGUUCAGUUCCCACCUCUGAUACAUACAAGCUUUGUAUUGAACAGGCACCUCUCUGAGGGCACAUGGCCUGGUGGAUGGAGUUUCUUUCCUGAGAAUUCUCAACGUAGAUGAAAUCAGAGGUCUGAGACCAAAGUCCCCAUUCCCAAAAGUACAGGCUGCUAAAGAUGUUGAAGUGAAGCUGUGAAGGACACUGAAUUGCCAAGCUAAUGAAUAAAGACUUUCUUAGAAAACAAUAGUGAGACUUGUUGUUGAGCCUAGAGUUUUAAACAGAUUGUUUUGGCAGCCGUGGGUAAGGAGGAUUGGCAUGGGAAAGCUAGCCCAGAAUGAUCAAUCUCCCAACUCGGUGCAUUUCACUGACUGCCUUGCAUGCCUGGCCUGCUCUCUCUCCUCAUCUCUAUCUUGUGGUUCCUCUGGUUUCCUUCAUGUCCCAUCUUAAAAUGAAGGCUCUUUCUGCAAGGAGCCCAUAUUGAUUCCCCCCAAUACUAAUACUUUCCACAGGACAUUGUCUCCAAUUUGCACAGUAUUUCCCCUAUUAGACUGUGAAUUUCUUUCCUUUCCUUUCCUUUCCUUUCCUUUCCUUUCUUUUCUUUUCUUUUCUUUUCUUUUCUUUUCUUUUUCCUCUCUCUCUCUCUCUCUCUCUCUCUCUCUCUCUCUCUCUCUCUCUCUCUCUCUCUCUCUCUCUCUCUCUCUCUCUCUCUUUCUGUGUCUCUCUUUCUGUCUCUCUCUGUGUGUGGACACUUUCAAGACAUGUCAAGCUUAAAUUGUGCCUCUCCCACUUCCUCGAUAUGGGACCUAUGCCAGUUACUUCAUUUCACCUCUAGGAGCCUCAGGGUCCCUCAUCUUUUCAGUAGGAUUGACGUCCUUGUAGCCCCCAAUCAGAAGGCCUGGAGCAUGGGCCAGUGAGAGAAUGUCUAUAAAGCACUUUGCAAACAUUAAAGCACAAUGGAAACGUACAUCGUUGGGGAGUCAGGUGGGGAGAAGGGGGAGGCAUUUUCCUUUCUUUUUUUCUAGAAAGGAACUGAAUAAAGUACCCAAAUUAGACUUUCUCCGGAGUUAU